This is a long non-coding RNA of Ipomoea nil (Japanese morning glory), 146 nucleotides long. RefSeq lists it as uncharacterized. The record is from RefSeq and is a predicted model, not a curated record. Lineage: Eukaryota; Viridiplantae; Streptophyta; Magnoliopsida; Solanales; Convolvulaceae. The transcript is spliced from 3 exons.
UAUCCGAGUGUUGUAUAUUUAUCAAGUUUAUUGGGACUCUUUGGUAUCCACAAGAUUUGCAUUAAUUACCUAUUCUAUAAACACCUCUUCUAAUUGUAAACUAACCUAGCAGUUCAUUUGAAGUACAAACACUUGAUUAAAAGAUU